UACGUCUACGGGCACAGCAGGCGCGAAAACUUUACAAUGUGCGAAAGCACGAUAAGGGAACUCUGAGUCCUCCUAUGGAGGCUGUUCAGGGUCUAAAAAGCACUAAGACGGC
This 112-nucleotide ribosomal RNA is filed under the name uncultured archaeon. RNAcentral's name for it is "partial 16S ribosomal RNA". The record is from RNAcentral.